This 480-nucleotide ribosomal RNA is filed under the name uncultured bacterium. Its description in RNAcentral is "partial 16S ribosomal RNA". It matches the Rfam family "Bacterial small subunit ribosomal RNA", at positions 28 to 507 of the family's 1533-position model. The record is from RNAcentral.
GACGAACGCUGGCGGCGUGCUUAACACAUGCAAGUUGAACGAGAAUUUUUCGAGUGAUUUCUUCGGAAUGAUCAUGAAAAAGGAAAGUAGCGAACGGGUGAGUAACACGUGAGAAACCUGCCUUUCACAAAGGGAUAGCCUCGGGAAACCGGGAUUAAUACUUUAUGAAACCAAACACUCGCAUGAGAGAUUGGUUAAAGAUUUAUCGGUGUUAGAUGGUCUCGCGUCUGAUUAGCUAGUUGGUGGGAUAACAGCCUACCAAGGCAACGAUCAGUAGCCGGAUUGAGAGGUUGAGCGGCCACACUGGAACUGAGACACGGUCCAGACUCCUACGGGAGGCAGCAGUGGGGAAUUUUGCACAAUGGAGGAAACUCUGAUGCAGCGACGCCGCGUGAGUGAUGAAGGUCUUCGGAUUGUAAAACUCUGUCCUUAGUGAAGAUAAUGACAGUAACUAAGAAGCAAGCCCUGGCUAAAUACGUG